GGCUAGCAAUUUAUUGUGAAAAGAAAGCCGAGUGUGUAAGCCUUUCCUGCCAGUACAUAGCCUCUGUAUUAUCAAGACUCCAGCAGAAUCCUCCUCGCGGUAACACAUGGAUACUGAUUACUUAGUUAGUCAGGCUAAUCUGUUGGAGAUCUCGGAGUAGCAAGGACCCUAGAGAUGCAGUGUGUAGGCCCAUCGGUGUGUGGAUACGCCCUAGCACUCAUCAACCUUGCCCCAGUUAUGGGAAAAUAAACGGUCAGAUAGAGGUCGUAGUCAGGGAUGACUAUCUAUCUAGGAGAGACAACUCUGAAUUGAAACAUGGGUAGAUCAUGACUCAUAGUCGGGGACGACAACUGAUCUAAAGGAAGAGAACCUUGAAAGAAAAUCUCCUGGUCCUCCAGGUUGGGGGUUGAGCACAAGACCAACUAUCUCGUCUCGCAAAAAAACAAACAGUUACGGAAACAAGGACAAGAAACUUAACUCGUCUCGGACACUCGGAAUACCAGCAAUCACAUGCAAGUAUGAAUGGUGCCAGUGAAAGCCAAGAGGAAGCUAGCAGCAGGAAUGGUAUUCUGAACACGAGAACAAAACUGAAGGUAGGAUGUUGGAAUG
RNAcentral lists this long non-coding RNA (609 nucleotides) under Mytilus galloprovincialis (Mediterranean mussel). Lineage: Eukaryota; Metazoa; Mollusca; Bivalvia; Mytilida; Mytilidae. The record is from RNAcentral.